CAGUAUUUGGCUUUGUUACAUCAGUUAAACAUCGAGAAGAUUGAGGUGGUUUUUAUUACAAACCAAAGCGGUUACUAGCUUACAAAUAUAUAAGACAUGUGACUUUAUUUCAGGAAGGAGUCAUCAUUUUAGUCAUCUUCCAUGUUUUGGUAUUAAUUUGGAGUAUGUUUUCAUUAAAGGAUUAAAAGAACAUUUAUGAACAUUUGUCUCAUCAUAAUUUGUGUUUUGAACUUGUGAAAGUGCAAUUGUGAAAACAGUAAACUUAUGUUCCAUCUCAAUCUUCUCUUGUUUAAGUGAACUUUCGGUGUUUGUUGAAAGUUUGGAAAGUUUGUCUGAAAAUCACAAUCUUUCAUUAAAUGUUGAUGCUCGAUGUUUUCAAAUAUUGAAUCCUACAAAAAGCGAUUAGUGAUCAAUUGAAGUAUACAAUACUUUUAAAAUUAGCACUGUUAGAACUGCCUUGUUGUUUAAUUGUCCUGUCUUAUUUAUCCCAGCAGACUCUUAAUACAUGAGUUUGAUUAUUCCUGGACACAAAUAAAAUGGAUUUGUUGAGGAACAAAGCAGUUUUAUACAGUACUGACUUAUAGGAGGG
Paramuricea clavata is the source of this 589-nucleotide non-coding RNA. NCBI's taxonomy places the organism in Eukaryota, Metazoa, Cnidaria, Anthozoa, Malacalcyonacea, Plexauridae. The record is from the annotation of a GenBank genome assembly.